RNAcentral lists this transfer RNA (83 nucleotides) under Schistocephalus solidus. It matches the Rfam family "tRNA". Rfam says of the family: Transfer RNA (tRNA) molecules are approximately 80 nucleotides in length. Their secondary structure includes four short double-helical elements and three loops (D, anti-codon, and T loops). Further hydrogen bonds mediate the characteristic L-shaped molecular structure. tRNAs have two regions of fundamental functional importance: the anti-codon, which is responsible for specific mRNA codon recognition, and the 3' end, to which the tRNAs corresponding amino acid is attached (by aminoacyl-tRNA synthetases). tRNAs cope with the degeneracy of the genetic code in two manners: having more than one tRNA (with a specific anti-codon) for a particular amino acid; and 'wobble' base-pairing, i.e. permitting non-standard base-pairing at the 3rd anti-codon position. The record is from Rfam by way of RNAcentral. Lineage: Eukaryota; Metazoa; Platyhelminthes; Cestoda; Diphyllobothriidea; Diphyllobothriidae.
GGCCUAAUAGCUCAGUCGGCUAGAGCUUUGGCUGUACUAAAGCCCUCCCCUUACUGGCGUGGGUUCGAAUCCCACCAAGGCCA